RNAcentral lists this long non-coding RNA (442 nucleotides) under Homo sapiens (human). Its description in RNAcentral is "non-protein coding lnc-MID1IP1-3:1". Lineage: Eukaryota; Metazoa; Chordata; Mammalia; Primates; Hominidae. The record is from RNAcentral.
UUUCUGGUUGGGAAAACUGUAACUCAGAAGAAUUUAGUAAUUCAUUUGAGAUCACUCAACAGUAGAAAGAUGUUUUCUCUCUCCUGAAAUAAGCCUUGACUCUAUUUGAUCUGCAGAGCCUUGGCAUGAAGAAUAUUUUAUGUUUCUUCUGUGAAGUAAAAAGGCAAGUCUUGUUGACUGAUGGUGAUUAACCAUAAUAAAGAUGCCUCAGUCAUAACAUGAACAUUGAAUAUAGGAUAUCAUCUGCUCAGAAGCAGACCCGAGUAAUCCAAAUGACAGACUGUGAUAUGAAGCUCAGUGAUGCCAGGCUUCUGUGUGAAGACUCAGAUGCUCAAAAAGUAACAGAGAAGCUCUAGAAAGGUUAUUUGUGCCUCCAUUAUGGAAACUUCUUCUGAGCUUAGGAGUAAUGUUAUGGGAGAAAUGCAAAUAAAGAGUGCCUGCU